AUUGAACGCUGGCGGCAUGCUUUACACAUGCAAGUCGAACGGCAGCGCGGGCUUCGGCCUGGCGGCGAGUGGCGAACGGGUGAGUAAUGCAUCGGAACGUGCCCAGUAGUGGGGGAUAGCCCGGCGAAAGCCGGAUUAAUACCGCAUACGACCUGAGGGUGAAAGCGGGGGACCGAAAGGCCUCGCGCUAUUGGAGCGGCCGAUGUCGGAUUAGCUAGUUGGUGGGGUAAAGGCUUACCAAGGCGACGAUCCGUAGCUGGUCUGAGAGGACGACCAGCCACACUGGGACUGAGACACGGCCCAGACUCCUACGGGAGGCAGCAGUGGGGAAUUUUGGACAAUGGGGGCAACCCUGAUCCAGCCAUGCCGCGUGCGGGAAGAAGGCCUUCGGGUUGUAAACCGCUUUUGUUCGGGAAGAAAUCCUCUGGGCUAAUACCCCGGGGGGAUGACGGUACCGGAUGAAUAAGCACCGGCUAACUACGUG
This 484-nucleotide ribosomal RNA is filed under the name uncultured bacterium. RNAcentral's name for it is "partial 16S ribosomal RNA". It matches the Rfam family "Bacterial small subunit ribosomal RNA", at positions 28 to 507 of the family's 1533-position model. The record is from RNAcentral.